UCCAAUGUGGUCUAGUGGUUUAGGAUUCCUGGCUUUCACCCAGGCGGCCCGGGUUCGAUUCCCGGCAUUGGAA
Haliotis rubra (blacklip abalone) is the source of this 73-nucleotide non-coding RNA. The record is from the annotation of a RefSeq genome assembly. Lineage: Eukaryota; Metazoa; Mollusca; Gastropoda; Lepetellida; Haliotidae.